GGGGAUUUGGGGCCGGCAGACACACGGGCACCUGGGCAUUGGUGAAGGCGGACACAUCACAUUGGAAGGUUUAUGAGCUUUGGUCGCUGAGUCCCCAGAGAGAGAGCUCGACUGUGUCUCCCAUCAUCUCAGUCAGCAAAAGGUCCGUAGGGGACUGCUGUGCUCAGCUCUGCAGAGACGUCCAGCGGUGCCCAGCGGGGAGGACUGUGCCAGGCUGCAGGGCUUUGCGUGCAGCAUCUGAGCUUUGAGCCCCUGGGAAAAACUGGGCCCUUAGGAAGCACUCCGAAGAAGCUUCCUAAAGGAAUUCUGCCUCCUGUCCUGUUCAUCCACUCUCAAAAUUUCUUCUUAGUCACUGUCCUGCUAGUGGAGCACUAGCCCAUCCCUCACCUCGUCAGGGUGUGCAUCCUCUGAGGAUUACCAGGCACCAUGGAUGGCUUUUCCACCUUCUAAAACAACAACAAGAAGAAGACUCUGAAGUCCAUCUGCGGGACAGUGGCUGGGUACAAGCUCUGAAGUUCACAGGACCAGCUGGUUGUCACACCUUGGGGUGGGGGUGGGUCAGAAGCUGCUACCAGCCUCUGGAGAGGAGAGCUUGGCUCAGCACCUUACAAGGCACAGGGCAGCCCCCUACCACCCCCCACCCCAACAUUUUCCUGUCCAGAAUGUCCAUAGCGCCGAGGCUGGAAACCCCUGUUUGAGAGUGAUUUUGCCAAGAUAAAUAAAAAAAGAAGCCAUGAUGAAGGCA
RNAcentral lists this long non-coding RNA (745 nucleotides) under Sus scrofa (pig). RNAcentral's name for it is "lncRNA (ENSSSCG00035034315.1)". The record is from RNAcentral. Lineage: Eukaryota; Metazoa; Chordata; Mammalia; Artiodactyla; Suidae.